This 404-nucleotide ribosomal RNA is filed under the name uncultured Acetomicrobium sp. Its description in RNAcentral is "bacterial SSU rRNA". It matches the Rfam family "Bacterial small subunit ribosomal RNA", at positions 356 to 774 of the family's 1533-position model. The record is from RNAcentral. Lineage: Bacteria; Thermotogati; Synergistota; Synergistia; Synergistales; Acetomicrobiaceae.
GGGGAAUUUUGGGCAAUGGGCGAAAGCCUGACCCAGCGACGCCGCGUUGGGGAUGAAGUCCUUCGGGGCGUAAACCCAUGUUGUAGGGGAAGAAGAAAGUGACGGUACCCUACGAGAAAGCCCCGGCCAACUACGUGCCAGCAGCCGCGGUAAAACGUAGGGGGCGAGCGUUGUCCGGAAUUACUGGGCGUAAAGGGCAUGCAGGCGGUGCGCCAAGUCGGGGGUGUAAAGUUACGGCUCAACCGUGACCUUGCAAUCGAAACUGGCGCACUGGAGUGCGGGAGAGGGAAGUGGAAUUCCCGGUGUAGCGGUGAAAUGCGUAGAUAUCGGGAGGAACGCCAGUGGCGAAGGCGGCUUCCUGGCCCGCGACUGACGCUCAUGUGCGAAAGCCAGGGGAGCGAACC